GCUCCGAUGGCCUAGUGGUUAGAGCGUCUGCCUUGGAUGCGGGACGUCGUGGGUUCGAUCCCAGGUCGAGUCA
Potamilus streckersoni is the source of this 73-nucleotide non-coding RNA. The record is from the annotation of a GenBank genome assembly. Lineage: Eukaryota; Metazoa; Mollusca; Bivalvia; Unionida; Unionidae.